GUAGCUACAACCAUACAAAUCAGUUACUAUGGGGAUGUGGAUACAGAGGAAGCAAGGCUGGACGAUUUCACGGUUGGUCGUCUCUCUGCUGUGACCAGCUGGUCUGACCAUUCAGCUGUGCAGUGGGGUCAACACGACCGUCUUGUUACCUCGGACUGGGUGAAUUAACCAAACAGCGUGAUGGAUAAACUGCCCCUCGACAAACGACAGCAUGUCCCCUUCUCUUGCACUCCACCCUCAAUCCUUUUCUCUCGGUCUAUACACUGUCAGUUGUUGGUUGGCCGGGCCGACAUUCUAAGGCUCAUUAAAAUACGAGCUGUUUGCUUUGCCCCUGUGAGCUCCCAUAAUCAUGUGUUGUUUUUAGCCCAAAUCACUUCCAGUGAUCAGUUACACACGCUGUACCACCCCCUCUUCCUCGUGCCCCUUCCCAACCUCUACCUCACUGGGCAGGAAUAUGUAUUUUUCAUCUCCGCUCGGCUGUCAGGGGGGAUUUGAGAGGCAGGCUAAGAGAAACACUGGAGAAACACCAGCGCUCUGAGUCAGACAACCUGCUUGGAUAGCUUGCUGCCUCACAGGCUGCCUUGAUAGCACUGUCUGACUGCCUCACAACCUGCCUGGAUAGCUUGCUGCCUCACAGGCUGCCUUGAUAGCACUGUCUGACUGCCUCACAACCUGCCUGGAUAGCUUGCCUGCCUCACAGCCUGUCUUGAUAGCACUCACUGUCUGACUGCCUGCCUCACAGCCUACCUGGAAAUCCUGCCUGCCUCACUGACCAUCUGUCUGACUACACCCUGGGCCUGGGAAAAAGAGAGAGACACAACCUGACCUCAGGUCAGGGCCUGCAGUCUGGUUCUGGUGGUGAUGAGGAAAGGAUUAACACAGUGGUAUUCAAAUGUCGGGGUCGCGAUGGAACUGCAGCAGGGUUUAUUGAGUAAAUGUAAUUAUUUUUAUUUUGAUGAGAUGAAAAUGCAAUGAAUUGAAGGUUCUGUUGAUGUAAAGAUCCAAAUGUACAGAUUUUAAGAUUGUGUCAUUAGAUUUGGAGUGUAGUGGGGUUUUUCUUUGGGGGAAAAAUGGGUUUCCAAAAAAGUUUGAAUACCACUGGUUUAAAAUGCGCACGUUACGAUAAAGAGGGUCAGUUGAUCAACAACUCACUCACACACUUCCUCAUACGAGACAUGUAAAAUCAGCUCAUCUUUCACCUCCAUUCCAGGCAUGCGUGUGUGUUGUGACAUUUUCAGAGAGGGAGGGUUAUGUUAGCAGACAAAGGGCCCUCGUUUUUCCACCCUGGUACUACAGGCCCCCAGUGAACCCGGGGUGAGGUAUGGGGACACAUUCUACAGAGAUCAUAGUGCACAGGAAGAGAAGCAGGCCCUUUUUCCUUUUUUUGCUCCCCUGACCCUCUACUCCCUCAUACGUCUGUCCCCUCCCACCUCGCCCGGCCCUCUCACCCGAGAUGCUUUGAUCUCUCCCCUGGCUGUCACUCCUCAGGUUACAGCUACCCACUACACAAGUGCUAAAUAACCAGCUCCCCCCUCCCCCUCUUUUUCUGUCUCACCU
Long non-coding RNA from Oncorhynchus tshawytscha (Chinook salmon), 1557 nucleotides. The record is from Ensembl. NCBI's taxonomy places the organism in Eukaryota, Metazoa, Chordata, Actinopteri, Salmoniformes, Salmonidae.